CCCUUAGAUGUUCUGGGCCGCACGCGCGCUACACUGAUGCAUUCAACGAGCACUAACCUGUGCAGAAAUGUUCGGGUAAUCUUGUGAAAUUUCAUCGUGAUGGGGAUUGAUUAUUGCAAUUAUUAAUCAUAAACGAGGAAUGCCUAGUAAGCGUGAGUCAUCAGCUCACGUUGAUUACGUCCCUGCCCUUUGUACACACCGCCCGUCGCUCCUACCGAUUGAAUGUGCUGGUGAAAAGUUCGGAUUGGGAAUAGGAGACGGCAACGUAUCCUGUUUCUGAGAAAAUCUUUAAACCCUCCCAUUUAGAGGAAGGAGAAGUCGUAACA
Molecule: ribosomal RNA, 326 nt
Filed under: uncultured eukaryote
Lineage: Eukaryota
Description: partial 18S ribosomal RNA
Rfam family: Eukaryotic small subunit ribosomal RNA
Source: RNAcentral